GGAUUGUGGCUCAGUGGCAGAGCGCUUGCCUCGAAAGUAUGAGGCACUGGGUUCCAUCCUCAGCACCA
This 68-nucleotide transfer RNA is filed under the name Marmota monax (woodchuck). RNAcentral's name for it is "tRNA.Ser". The stretch from base 5 to 65 matches the Rfam family "tRNA", at positions 6 to 65 of the family's 71-position model. Rfam says of the family: Transfer RNA (tRNA) molecules are approximately 80 nucleotides in length. Their secondary structure includes four short double-helical elements and three loops (D, anti-codon, and T loops). Lineage: Eukaryota; Metazoa; Chordata; Mammalia; Rodentia; Sciuridae. The record is from RNAcentral.